UACGGAGGGGCGAGCGUUGUCCGAAGUUACUGGGCGUAAAGCGCGCGUAGGCGGGUUGGCAAGUCCGCUGUGAAAGCCCGGUGCUUAACGCCGGAGGGUCGGUGGAUACUGCCAGUCUUGAAGGUGCUAGGGGAAGAUGGAAUUACCGGUGUAGCGGUGAAAUGCGUAGAUAUCGGUAGGAACACCAGUGGCGAAGGCGGUCUUCUGGAGCACUCUUGACGCUGAGGCGCGAAAGCUGGGGGGAGCGAACGGG
This 253-nucleotide ribosomal RNA is filed under the name uncultured bacterium. Its description in RNAcentral is "partial 16S ribosomal RNA". It matches the Rfam family "Bacterial small subunit ribosomal RNA", at positions 524 to 776 of the family's 1533-position model. The record is from RNAcentral.